UUUUGAGUGAAUCAUGCAACAUUGGUGCAGAUUAUUUUUACAACCAGUUGCUACGCUUACGAUUUACUUUGCUAAGAAUUAUUCACGCAAUUGAGAAAGUAGACAAAAAAAGAACGACAACGAUUACGAUUACGAUGACGUUGACGAUGGCAGAGAAUAGGUCAUCAUUUAAAUGACAAUUCACAUGGAUCAGAGUCGAAGUCUCUGCCACUCGUCUCUCUGCCCAAUUCAAAGAGCUGAAGUCUCGAUGAAUGUGUGAGUGUGCAAAAGGCAAAAGUUACUUGGGCCAGAUUAAAGCGAAGCGCAAAGCAACUAGCAUUGAGCACACAUGUUGCAUAUGCCUUCCAUGCCCUGCGGCCCCGCUCGCAACUCUGCCACUUGCCUUGUUGACGCUUUGGCAAACUUUGCCGCACAACUACAACUAAAAAAAAAUGGGAAAAAAAGAAUGAAACGAGUAUCCAUAAAAAAGAAGCGUAGAGCAAACGAAAGAUUUAAGGAGCUGAUGCGCAACAAAAUAAAGUACUCCUUAAAUAUUUACGUUCCAUGGAUUCAAUAUGUGCGGUGGCCUUCCUGCCCCAUCCCCGUGCCUUGAGGGCAACCUCACCAGCCGGUCAACCAAUCAAAUCAAAGGCCACUUGCCAGCCAGGCUUAGCCUUCUGCCUGCGUCUCCACUCUCCACUCACAUCCUUGGCGAGUUCAAUGCACGCACAGUCCACAGAUUAGACUCGAGAGUGGGCAAAACACUGAACUGGACCACAUCUCCUCCACUUUUAUGCAAACAGAAAAUAAAAAAAAAAACACAGAAAAAGAAAAAAUACAGAAGCAAAGGAAAAACAAUAAGAGUGCGGGCUGAGAGCAGCAGAUAACCUCAGCAACAAUCGAGUGGCUUCAGCACAGGCCGCGAUUCUGCACUACGAGCACACAUUCAAGCGCUCAAACACUCAUAGAUUUAAUAAAGUUGAGCGACUUGUGAUCUCCAGUCAACAUCUAUUGACAUCUUACAACAUAAUGCGACUUAAACAGUAGCUGAAAUCGCAAUCAACUUUCGCCAAAUGUUGAACGCCAAACAGAAAAACUAUUCAACAGGUGUGAAUACUCUGGCUUUGCAUUUCUAAUGGCGAUCAAAGGGAAUUUUGUGGUAGCUAUAAAAAUAGUAUAAUGGAUACGCAAUAUAGGAAUAAUGUAGAACCUGAUGUAGCAGCGCACAUUAACCCACGUUGGGCGCCAACAUGUUGAUUCAAUUGUCAUGUCAAUAAGCGACAGGUAUUUUAAUGCAAUAUAUAUCUAAUGACAAUUAAAAAAGAAAAAUGGGAAUUCGAAACCAAUGAAGACAAUCUUAAACAUGAAAUACGCAAGUUAAGCUGCGCACGUGUGGAUGCGAAACCAAAAAAGACAAUGCUAAACUUAAAGCCACCCACUUUGGAAGCCAAAAUGAUAAUUUAAGAAGCCAGAAGAUAUAUUAAUGCGAAACAACUAUUCAACAGAUAUGCAAUCUACUGCAAUAUAUUCUAAUGGCAAUCAAAAUAGAAUCGAAUCGAACGAAGACAGCGUGAAGCAGUGCAAGUUGAGCUACCCACGUUGGGCGCCAUGAAUGUGAAACAAUGUGUGUGCCACGCCUCGACAACAUUCAUUUAAUUGCCACUAAUGAUACGCGACAUAAACCAGCAAAUCGAUUAAUGCGAUGAAUUGACAGCUAUCGAUAACCAAACAGUCAGACAGACAGACAGACGGACAGACAGACAUCUGAACACCACACAGCAGGCAGCAGACACUGCGAAGUCCACAGUGCUGUCCAGUUCACACACAGUGA
This is a long non-coding RNA of Drosophila nasuta, 1810 nucleotides long. RefSeq lists it as uncharacterized. Lineage: Eukaryota; Metazoa; Arthropoda; Insecta; Diptera; Drosophilidae. The transcript has 3 exons. The record is from RefSeq and is a predicted model, not a curated record.